GACGAACGCUGGCGGCGUGCUUAACACAUGCAAGUCGAGCGGUAAGGCCCUUUCGGGGGUACACGAGCGGCGAACGGGUGAGUAACACGUGGGUGACCUGCCUUUAGCUCUGGGAUAAGCCUGGGAAACUGGGUCUAAUACCGGAUACGACUCCGCGGUGCAUGCUGUGGGGUGGAAAGCCUUGUGCGGCUGGAGAUGGGGCCCGCGGCCUAUCAGCUUGUUGGUGGGGUGAUGGCCUACCAAGGCGACGACGGGUAGCCGGCCUGAGAGGGCGACCGGCCACACUGGGACUGAGACACGGCCCAGACUCCUACGGGAGGCAGCAGUGGGGAAUCUUGCGCAAUGGGCGAAAGCCUGACGCAGCGACGCCGCGUGAGGGAUGACGGCCU
RNAcentral lists this ribosomal RNA (389 nucleotides) under uncultured bacterium. RNAcentral describes it as "bacterial SSU rRNA". It matches the Rfam family "Bacterial small subunit ribosomal RNA", at positions 28 to 417 of the family's 1533-position model. The record is from RNAcentral.